Molecule: unclassified non-coding RNA, 390 nt
Filed under: fungal sp.
Lineage: Eukaryota; Fungi
Description: partial internal transcribed spacer region
Rfam family: Eukaryotic small subunit ribosomal RNA (bases 1-46)
Source: RNAcentral
AAGUCGUAACAAGGUUUCCGUAGGUGAACCUGCGGAAGGAUCAUUCAUAGAGAGACACAACAAAGGUUGCCGUCAGGCAGUCUUUGUGUGUCUCAUUCUAAACUCAAGAGAGUGCGUUACGUUAGUCUGCCGCCAGGCAGGCUAAGGCUGCUCACUCUAUUGUAAAUCAAGAGGAGGCCUUUUCGGAGGUCGUUUCCUAGGAAACAUACAAGGCUGAUGACGCGGUUCUUGAAACCCUUUUUCGUCGCACACAGUCCUUAGUCUUCUGACAAACAAAAGUGAAGAGUGAAAAAGGAUUUCCUUACAAACCACUAUAUAUACCACCCCAAUUCUAACUUUAAAGUAAAUCAACUUUAGAAACAACUUUUGACAACGGAUCUCUUGGUUCUC